This 189-nucleotide ribosomal RNA is filed under the name Staphylococcus aureus. Its description in RNAcentral is "partial 16S ribosomal RNA". It matches the Rfam family "Bacterial small subunit ribosomal RNA", at positions 1 to 184 of the family's 1533-position model. Lineage: Bacteria; Bacillati; Bacillota; Bacilli; Caryophanales; Staphylococcaceae. The record is from RNAcentral.
UUUAUGGAGAGUUUGAUCCUGGCUCAGGAUGAACGCUGGCGGCGUGCCUAAUACAUGCAAGUCGAGCGAACGGACGAGAAGCUUGCUUUUCUGAUGUUAGCGGCGGACGGGUGAGUAACACGUGGAUAACCUACCUAUAAGACUGGGAUAACUUCGGGAAACCGGAGCUAAUACCGGAUAAUAUUUUGA